AAGAUGACACCCUAACCAAGGAAGAAAAAAUAAGGUCAGACUAAAUCAUCAUCAGGGAUAAAUAUCAUCAAACUGGGGAAAGAUACAAACUGAUAUGACUAAAACAUAAUAAUCUGAAACUGAAAAUGACAAAGUAAACCGACACAAAAUUUAAACACAAUACGAUGAAAAAGUAAGGAACCUAAUAGAGAACCUUAAAAGCAACCAAUAAAACUG
Molecule: long non-coding RNA, 216 nt
Filed under: Brassica napus (rape)
Lineage: Eukaryota; Viridiplantae; Streptophyta; Magnoliopsida; Brassicales; Brassicaceae
Description: long non-coding RNA (BNAP_LNC019213)
Source: RNAcentral